Molecule: non-coding RNA, 77 nt
Organism: Potamilus streckersoni
Lineage: Eukaryota; Metazoa; Mollusca; Bivalvia; Unionida; Unionidae
Source: the annotation of a GenBank genome assembly
GACUGCUCCGAUAGCGUAGUGGUCAGAGCGUCCGCUUCUGAUGCGGGAGAUCGUGGGUUCGAUCCCCGGCCAAGUCA